This 76-nucleotide transfer RNA is filed under the name Actinomadura kijaniata. RNAcentral's name for it is "tRNA-Ala". It matches the Rfam family "tRNA". From Rfam's summary of the family: Transfer RNA (tRNA) molecules are approximately 80 nucleotides in length. Their secondary structure includes four short double-helical elements and three loops (D, anti-codon, and T loops). Further hydrogen bonds mediate the characteristic L-shaped molecular structure. tRNAs have two regions of fundamental functional importance: the anti-codon, which is responsible for specific mRNA codon recognition, and the 3' end, to which the tRNAs corresponding amino acid is attached (by aminoacyl-tRNA synthetases). tRNAs cope with the degeneracy of the genetic code in two manners: having more than one tRNA (with a specific anti-codon) for a particular amino acid; and 'wobble' base-pairing, i.e. permitting non-standard base-pairing at the 3rd anti-codon position. Lineage: Bacteria; Bacillati; Actinomycetota; Actinomycetes; Streptosporangiales; Thermomonosporaceae. The record is from RNAcentral.
GGGGCCAUAGCUCAGUUGGCAGAGCACCGGCUUUGCAAGCCGGGUGUCCGGGGUUCGAAUCCCCGUGGCUCCACCA